Molecule: ribosomal RNA, 459 nt
Filed under: uncultured bacterium
Lineage: Bacteria
Description: partial 16S ribosomal RNA
Rfam family: Bacterial small subunit ribosomal RNA
Source: RNAcentral
CCUACGGGAGGCUGCAGUGAGGAAUAUUGGUCAAUGGCCGAGAGGCUGAACCAGCCAAGUCGCGUGAGGGAAGACGGCCCUACGGGUUGUCAACCUCUUUUGUCGGGUAGCAAAGCGAGUCACGUGUGACUCAUUGAGAGUACCCGAAGAAAAAACAUCGGCUAACUCCGUGCCAGCCGCCGCGGUAAUACGGAGGAUGCGAGCGUUAUCCGGAUUUAUUGGGUUUAAAGGGUGCGCAGGCGGAGGUGCAAGUCAGCGGUCAAAGUGCGGGGCUCAACCCCGUACUGCCGUUGAAACGGCAUCCCUUGAGUGCGCGAGAAGUAUGCGGAAGGCGUGGUGUAGCGGUGAAAUGCAUAGAUAUCACGAAGAACUCCGAUUGCGAAGGCAGCAUACCGGCGCGCAACUGACGCUCAUGCACGAAAGCGUGGGUAUCGAACAGGAUUAGAUACCCCAGUAGUC